UGGGGAAUAUUGGGCAAUGGAGGAAACUCUGACCCAGCAACGCCGCGUGAAGGAAGAAGGUUUUCGGAUCGUAAACUUCUAUCCUUGGUGAAAAUAAAAGAUGGUAGCCAAGAAGGAAGCCCCGGCUAACUACGUGCCAGCAGCCGCGGUAAUACGUAGGGGGCAAGCGUUGUCCGGAAUGAUUGGGCGUAAAGGGCGCGUAGGCGGCCUGGUAAGUCUGGAGGGAAAGUCCUGCGUUUAAGGUGGGAAUUGCUUUGGAUACUGUCGGGCUUGAGUGCAGGAGAGGUAAGUGGAAUUCCCUGUGUAGCGGUGAAAUGCGUAGAGAUCGGGAGGAACACCAGUGGCGAAGGCGACUUACUGGACUGUAACUGACGCUGAGGCGCGAAAGUGUGGGGAGCAAACA
This 403-nucleotide ribosomal RNA is filed under the name uncultured prokaryote. RNAcentral describes it as "bacterial SSU rRNA". It matches the Rfam family "Bacterial small subunit ribosomal RNA", at positions 355 to 774 of the family's 1533-position model. The record is from RNAcentral.